RNAcentral lists this long non-coding RNA (248 nucleotides) under Populus trichocarpa (black cottonwood). RNAcentral's name for it is "long non-coding RNA (PTRI_LNC004159)". Lineage: Eukaryota; Viridiplantae; Streptophyta; Magnoliopsida; Malpighiales; Salicaceae. The record is from RNAcentral.
UUUUUUAUCAUUUUUUUUCUUUAACAAUAAGUCAGCUAGAGAUUUAGUUUUUUAAUUGUUUUUUUUCAAGAUUAUCUCUGCUAAUUUUGUAUGUUAGCCUUGAUUAACUUAGGUAGACCUGAUAUGUUUCCAUCUUAAUAUUAGAUAAAAAUAUUAUUGAAUAUAUAACUAAUUUUAAAUUCUUGGUUAAAAUCUAUUUUUGUUUAUAAAAAAAAAGACGUUAGAAAUACUUUUUUUUCCCUGCGUUU